Molecule: RNA transcript, 906 nt
Organism: Oryza brachyantha (malo sina)
Lineage: Eukaryota; Viridiplantae; Streptophyta; Magnoliopsida; Poales; Poaceae
Exons: 3
Source: RefSeq, a predicted model, not a curated record
CGGCUGCAGCGACGGACUACAAGCAGCGGCGGGCCAUCCACGCUGUGGAGCAGGUGGCCGGCGGCGUUCGCGGGGGAGCAGGCGACCAGCGGCGUUCGCCGAUGAGCAGGCGGCUGGCGGCGUCCGCGGGGAGCACACGACCGGCGGCAUGUGUGGGGGAAUCCAAGUGGCGGCGAGCCGUCCAUGCUGUGGAGCAGGAGACCGGUGGCGUCCGCGGAGGAGCAGGCGGCCAGCGACGGAGGAGCGGUUGGCCAACGAUGGUGGAGGAGCGGACAACUAGCAGAUACCCGGUACAGAAGUACGGUAUCGGGUUAGGUAUGUUCAUACUCUAACCUACCUGACCCGAUCCAUUGAUAUCCCUAGCGACGCCGGCGACACGAUCUGGAUCAGCCGAGAAGGGCAGCACGUGGUGAUGUGGGCUGACCACUUGACCAGACAACCACGGCAGGGGCGGCAGCCGGCACUCGCACUUCGGAAGUGGGAUUCAACUGUGUACUGUAUACUCACAGUUAUACUGAGGCUGCCGCGUAUACUCACAGUUAUACUGUUCGGCAGUUUGACAAUUGAGAAGAAUAGAAGAUGGAUGAGAAAGGGAAGGGAAAGUGUGCAGCACAAAGAGGUAAAAUGGUAAAUUUGUGGAUUGUGAUCAAUGAUUUUUCAAAGGGCUUGAUCUAAACCAAAUUUAAAAAAAAUGUUUCAGAAAAUGAGAGAUGGGCAAAUGCAAUUGCCUAGAUCUCCUAAAGUCCCUAGUCGCAAUUGAAACUUGUUUUCGGUAUGGCUUUUCAUUUUCUUUCUAUUUCUUUAGGUCAUUAUAUCCAUCUUAAUUGUAAAUUUACUAAUACAUCGCUAAUUUUUGUUUCACAGUGGGCCAUGACAAAUUAUUUUCAUAUAUCUAUCAUCUAUGCU